UACGUAGGGUGCGAGCGUUAAUCGGAAUUACUGGGCGUCAAGCGUGCGCAGGCGGUUUUGUAAGCCAGAUGCGAAAGCCCCGGGCUUAACCUGGGAAUGGCAUUUGGGACUGCAAGGCUUGAGUGCGGCAGAGGAGACUGGAAUUCCUGGUGUAGCAGUGAAAUGCGUAGAUAUCAGGAGGAAUACCGAUGGCGAAGGCAGGUCUCUGGGCUGACACUGACGCUCAUGCACGAAAGCGUGGGGAGCAAACAGG
RNAcentral lists this ribosomal RNA (253 nucleotides) under uncultured bacterium. RNAcentral describes it as "partial 16S ribosomal RNA". It matches the Rfam family "Bacterial small subunit ribosomal RNA", at positions 524 to 776 of the family's 1533-position model. The record is from RNAcentral.